Molecule: long non-coding RNA, 398 nt
Organism: Epinephelus fuscoguttatus (brown-marbled grouper)
Lineage: Eukaryota; Metazoa; Chordata; Actinopteri; Perciformes; Serranidae
Exons: 3
Source: RefSeq, a predicted model, not a curated record
GUUUAAAGUGCUUUGUGUUUAUUUUGGCCCCUGGGAGCGAGGCCGGAGGAGGAAGAUGGUUUCCAUGCGCCACAGAGACACGGUUUGAGUGACAGUCCCGACACCUAAUGACUGAACUUUCACUGCCUCAGAUGGGCCCACGGUUAGAGAUGAUCGCCGGGGUUACAUCCCAACGUGUGGGUUUGGGCCUGAAAGACGUGCCAGACCUGCUGCCAAAGCAUCGGCCUCCACCUCACCCUGCAGACAUGGCUGAACACACACGCAUGCAUACACACACAAACACGCACACACACGGCCUUUAAAAUCACGCACAUCUCGUAUAUGUGUUCUGAAGCGUUACUUUACUUCCUCAUAUUUCCAUACAUCCGCCAUGCAUAUGUAUGUGUGUCCUUUUUCCA